This 699-nucleotide long non-coding RNA is filed under the name Homo sapiens (human). Its description in RNAcentral is "HSALNT0104606". The record is from RNAcentral. Lineage: Eukaryota; Metazoa; Chordata; Mammalia; Primates; Hominidae.
GGAGCAGCACCCGGCUGGCGCUGGCCGGCCGGCGCCGGGGACUUUCUUCCGCCUGGCCAGACAGAUCCCUGUUUUUUGUUUUUCAAAAUUCAGAAAGCAUCUCCGAAUAUUUGCCCAGAGGAGUGUGAAACAUACUUUCCUGGAGUUGUAAGACGUUCAUCGCCGUGUUAUCCUUGAGUAAAGAAGCGGGCUUUUGCCAUGUUGUCCAGGCUGGUCUCUACUCCUGGGCUCAAGCAGUCCUCCUGCCUCAGUCUCCCAAAGUGCUGGAAUUACAGGGAAUGAACUCUGGAAGCCCAGCCAGGGACAAUGCACCUUCACAGAGAUUCUGCACUAAUCUGAGUGAAGGUCUAAGGUUUGGAAUCUCCCCCUCAUGGAGAGAAGCUUUGUAUGGCUGUCAUGCUUAGACAGUGAUUCCUGCAACUUGACCUUCAGGCUGGGAGAGGUGGAGAGCCAUGCCUGUUCUCCUUCCUUGCUAUGGAAUUUGCUGACACAAUAUCUUCCGCCUGGUGCUGGGCAUAUCCUAAGAACUUACAACUUUCCUGUAUUAUCCUGUGUGAGCAGCUGUCACCUUAUUGGGGGAAAAAUGCCUGAAAAUUAGGGGGCACUUCAAGUAGAUAGCUUCUAUUUCCUAUAUUUGUCUUAUAUACAAGUAUUUGCUUUUAUCAAAAUAAUUCCAAUAAAGCAUUUUAAAGUAAAGAA